GCAGUGUUUACAACGGUCAGUUACAGCUCUGCAUAUGUAUAUUUACUCUGUGAUUCAACCGUCACUUGUAACGCCGUCACCUGACGAUCGCACUCAGCGUGAAACUCAGAGUUGUAUUAUUAAUAUAUGCCUCCUUGCAUUGCGAUCUAAAAUUUAUAACAAAAAUAAUAAAAUAAUUAUUGACAAUAAUAUAAACAAUUACAUUUAAACAGAUUAUUACAAUAAUAUACAUUUAGUAAGUUAGUCAAUUGGAAGUUACAAUUAUAAAUGUCUCCGCCUGGCAGCCACUGGGUUUGAUAUAAUUAUUGACAAUUGAAUAUAAACAAUUACAUUUAAACAGAUUAUUACAAUUUUAUACAUUUUGUAAGUUAGUCAAUUGGAAGUUAGAAUUAUAACUAUAAU
Non-coding RNA from Paramuricea clavata, 402 nucleotides. The record is from the annotation of a GenBank genome assembly. NCBI's taxonomy places the organism in Eukaryota, Metazoa, Cnidaria, Anthozoa, Malacalcyonacea, Plexauridae.